GAUUAACUCCGCGGGGAGCAGCGGCGGAGGCUGAGCCGGCGCUCCCGCCACGCAUCGCCUGCUUCCCAGCACGCUCAGGAGUUUUGGAGCCAACCUCCCGGCAGCUAAUCCUCCUCGCUGCCGGAGCCGGGGGCGCCGGGAAGAGCCGGCAGGGCGGCAGGUGAAGGGAAGAGAACGGGGAGGAGUGCCCACACACACACGCGUGCACCCCGCACACGGCAUCGGGCAGCGGCGGCGGAUCGGCGGAUGCGUGCGGGGAGCUCCGCCGGGAGCCCAGCCCGGAAUGAAACAAGCUGGAGCAUCAGGAGAGAGGAGCUGUUCGCUUGGAAAAGUCUUUAAGGAAUCGAUCGGGAGAUGCCGGUAAGAGAAGUUGCUGAAAGCCAAGCUGGAAUGGCCAGGAGCUGCGCGCCGCCGGCCCCGUCUCACACCGGGGCAGCUGAACUUUGUGGGGUCUGAACAUUUUUCUCCCCUGCGAACGCUCUGGGCAGCGCUGACGGGAGAGCCAGGACAGCACCGCGCACCUUGAGCCUGACAGAGCCUGGGGUAGUGCCAAGGGGGGAUUUCUGUCUCAACAAGGACCAUCGCCUCUGAAAAAAAAAAAAAAAAAGCUGGAGAAGGGCAAUUAAUCUUUCUUUUCCAGAUGACUGAAAAUAUCUACAGGAUCCUGUCUCUCCGGUUUUCAUUGGUGAGUAGCAUAAGAGACAGGCAACUGAGGAACAGAAAUGAUAUCGGUCAAAAUCAUUCCAGCACCUACUUUUUCCUAAGGAACUUCAUGCCCAUAGGGGUUUUCUGUGGGCACUUCCAGGAGUGAGACCAAGGUACCACAGAUGUGUCCCUACCGGAUCAUGUAAGAAUUUGCAAAUGAGAAACGUACCCUAUCCAGACCUUCUCUGCCCGCUUUGCAGUACAUGGUUUGGUGUAAGCACAGCAAUUCUCACCUCUUUCUUUCCCUUUUAAGUCUCUUGAGCUUGGAGACCUCUUUCCUCAUUGCAAUUAUGAUUAUUUGCAACAUCAGUGCCAUCAAAGAUUGGAGCACUUUCCUUUCCCAAAUCCUCCCCAGCGUUAACAAGACUCUGAACUUGGUACAGCAAGUGGAAGCCACCACCAGCUCGGUGUACUCAUACUCGGACAAUGACCAGCUCUACAAGGAGUACAAACCCCCUCCUCGAGACGCCAUUCCUCUGCCCAAGGCUGUCCUCUACCUCCUCAUGGCAGCCCUGGUGGUGGUGGCAGUGGCGUACGCCAUCGUCGGGCAUCUCAUCAAGGACCUCAUUUACGACUUUGUAGACUGGAUCUUUGGCCCCAGCCCAGAUGACAACAGCAACAAGAGCGACAUCAACUGCAUCAGCAACAGCGUCAACGAGAUGAGCGAGAUGCCCGAGGCGCCGCGGCACCGGGAGCGCCAGCCCCAGGACGUGGUCAUUGCCAUCAGCGAGACUUGUCACUUGCCACAGCAAACGUGACCGGCGCCACCUCCGGGCCAGGCGGGAUGGAGCAGCGGGAUGGAGCAGCGGGAUGGAGAGGGAUGGAGCAGAAGGAUGGAGCAGUGAAACAGUGCAGAAGGACCAGGCAGGGAGAGGAAGGGAUGGGCAAAGCUGGCACCGUGGAGCAAAGCCCUUCUCCCCCUGGUUUUACCAGCCUCUAAGGACCUUGUGGGGGUGGGUGGCAUCACCCCUUCUCCCAGGCUUGUCAGCCCUGUCCUGACGUCUGCCCUUGGGUUUGUGACCCCCUCUUUGUUCCCUGUGAAUAGCAAAAAAGAAAAAGCAAAUGCAAAAUGCACCCACCAGACAAAGCUUGCAAGAGAAAUGAGCCAGAGAGAGGCCGGGCGGUCCUUUGGCGUGUGGCUGUCCAGUGGUGUGGGAAUGGCGUGGGGAAAAGGGCAAAGGUGACAAGGAGGCUACAGAGAAAUGUGGUUGUCUGCAUUUCUGGGGACAGGCCCAGGACACAGCAGGGAGGUGGGAGCUGCAGAAAGGCACAGAAAGGUCAGUAGGGGCCAAAUCCUCCAGUACACUGGUGAUCUGCCUGGGCCGUCACUCCUGUUUUUAGUUUUGCAGCUCCAGCUCACAGCCCUUUUCAGCAGAUGUGUCCUGUGGCUCUGGGACAGCAGGGUGACAGCCCAAACCUCCCAGGGAGCCUUAUUCUCUAGGCCUGUAGCCAUUCCAGGGCCAUCACAUUCCCUCCACCACAUCUCUGCUUGAGCCCAGCACUCCCUGACAGGGAGCAGCCCUGUUGGGGCCGGGUACAACCCCUUUUUCUGAGGAAUAUUGCUGGAGAGGACAGGGACUCAUCUGCAUAAAAUCCAAACUCUUCAUGGGGGAAAAUAGCCCUUGUAUGUCUGCAUCCUUCAGAUUCAUCCCAGCAUGAUCACCUCCUACAUCACCCCCAACUUCCUGCCACCCCAAGGGGUGCUGGCUCUGUAGUGGGGUCAUCCCCUUGUGCAUUGAUGGAGCAGGGACACCUCCCUCUUCUCCCUGGAUGCCUUCCUCUUUCCAGCCAGAGCACCACCAACCAAAACUGUCCUUCUCUGUGCCCAAACACAUCCUUUCCCAUUUGUAACUCCAGGGAGAUCCCUGCUCCUCUCUGUUUAAGGGGCUCAGGGGAAGUUCCCAAACCAUGUGGGGAAGAGAGUAUCCUGAUGGCUUCAUUGCUGUUUUAAGAUCAGUUCUUAUCCCAAUAAGGAUUUUAAACCAGGAUCCAUAAUUUCUCUGUGUAGCAGAGUGGAGGCACUGGCACCAAGCUCAUUCCUUGUUCCUCUCCCUUAUGAAGAUCCCUUUACUCUCCACAUCCUCCCUGAACUUAAAAAAGGUUACACUGAUGUGCCACAGAGCCAGUCCCGAGAAAGGGCCGUGGUCCAGAAUUCUGCCUCUGCAUUCAGGGAGACAAAUCCUGCCUUUUCCCAGCCUGCAGUACCCAGCACACCACAAAUAGCAGGGGCCAGAACAGCAUUUUCCCCUUCUGAGAGCACUUAAGGAAAAUGGAUGUGGUUUCAAACUCCUGCUCCAACGGCUUUAAUGAGAGCCAUUACCAGCAGUCCCACGCUGGGGCUUUGUCGGCUUUUCAGCAAGCAAAGGCGGAGGAAGUACCUCAGACCUCCCCCCGUAAUUAACCAUUUCCGAUCAGACAGUGUUUUCCUACCUUUUUUUUUUUUUUUUUUUUUUUUUUUUUUUUUUUUUUAAUCCUGGGUGUGUAGCGUGGCUGCUCGGGCACCUGCCAGGCUUCCCCAGUACUGCUGGGGCUGCGGGGGGAGCUGGACAGGGAUGGAGAGCUGGACAGCACGGGGGGGAUGCUGGAGCAUGAUCCCACCAGUGACUGUCAGCCCCUGGGAAUAAAGUUGCAGCACCAGAGCUGGCA
RNAcentral lists this long non-coding RNA (3351 nucleotides) under Chloebia gouldiae (Gouldian finch). RNAcentral's name for it is "Erythrura gouldiae (Gouldian finch) lncRNA (ENSEGOG00005016894.1)". The record is from RNAcentral. Lineage: Eukaryota; Metazoa; Chordata; Aves; Passeriformes; Passeridae.